CUUUUGCUGGCGGCGCGCCUAACACAUGCAAGUCGAACGAGCGAGAGGGAGCUUGCUUUCUCGAGCGAGUGGCGAACGGGUGAGUAACGCGUGAGGAACCUGCCUCAAAGAGGGGGACAACAGUUGGAAACGACUGCUAAUACCGCAUAAGCCCACGGUGCCGCAUGGCACAGAGGGAAAAGGAGCAAUCCGCUUUGAGAUGGCCUCGCGUCCGAUUAGCUAGUUGGUGAGGUAAUGGCCCACCAAGGCAACGAUCGGCAGCCGGACUGAGAGGUUGAACGGCCACAUUGGGACUGAGACACGGCCCAGACUCCUACGGGAGGCAGCAGUGGGGAAUAUUGCACAAUGGGGGAAACCCUGAUGCAGCGACGCCGCGUGGAGGAAGAAGGUCUUCGGAUUGUAAACUCCUGUUGUUGGGGAAGAUAAUGACGGUACCCAACAAGGAAGUGACGGCUAACUACGUGCCAGCAGCCGCGGUAAAACGUAGGUCACAAGCGUUGUCCGGAAUUACUGGGUGUAAAGGGAGCGCAGGCGGGAAGACAAGUUGGAAGUGAAAUCUAUGGGCUCAACCCAUAAACUGCUUUCAAAACUGCUUUUCUUGAGUAGUGCAGAGGUAGGCGGAAUUCCCGGUGUAGCGGUGGAAUGCGUAGAUAUCGGGAGGAACACCAGUGGCGAAGGCGGCCUACUGGGCACCAACUGACGCUGAGGCUCGAAAGUGUGGGUAGCAAACAGGAUUAGAUACCCUGGUAGUCCACACCGUAAACGAUGAUUACUAGGUGUUGGAGGAUUGACCCCUUCAGUGCCGCAGUUAACACAAUAAGUAAUCCACCUGGGGAGUACGACCGCAAGGUUGCAAGGGAAAGGAAUUGACGG
This 873-nucleotide ribosomal RNA is filed under the name uncultured bacterium. Its description in RNAcentral is "bacterial SSU rRNA". It matches the Rfam family "Bacterial small subunit ribosomal RNA", at positions 30 to 916 of the family's 1533-position model. The record is from RNAcentral.